CUUAGACUUGAUCAUAGGUGUAACCAGUCAAACUGUAUCUUCCACCUCUUUACUGAAUACUAUUGAUUACCUCUUCAAGUGGAAAUCUGGGCUCAUAAUUUUUGUGGGUUUCUCUGCUUAGUCUUGGCUAUCCUGGAACUCUCUCUGUAGACAAAGCUGGCCUCAAGCACAAUGAUCUGCCUGCCUCUAUGAGCAGGUUCUGGGAUUAAAGGCAUGCUCCACCACCCACUGCCCAGCUCUAUUUUCAUUAAGAAGAAGGAGGAGAAGGAGGAGGAUACGUGUAUGACUGGUAUGUCUUCAACAUUCUCUGGAGAGAUGGUCACCCAACAUUUCUGUUUAUGAAGAGAGCCAAAGUCAGCCAGAGGUGAGAGCUCAACUCCCUGGCAGACGCUUAUUGAGGAUAUGAAUGGCCUAGACCUGCCUCUGGCUUUUAGAUCAGAGUUUUCCCAAGCUUUUAUUCCUCAGAUUUUUCUCGUUCCUCAGUCCUUCCUC
Long non-coding RNA from Meriones unguiculatus (Mongolian gerbil), 492 nucleotides. RefSeq lists it as uncharacterized. The transcript has 3 exons. The record is from RefSeq and is a predicted model, not a curated record. Lineage: Eukaryota; Metazoa; Chordata; Mammalia; Rodentia; Muridae.